This 253-nucleotide ribosomal RNA is filed under the name uncultured bacterium. RNAcentral describes it as "partial 16S ribosomal RNA". It matches the Rfam family "Bacterial small subunit ribosomal RNA", at positions 524 to 776 of the family's 1533-position model. The record is from RNAcentral.
UACGUAGGGGGCAAGCGUUAUCCGGAUUUACUGGGUGUAAAGGGAGCGUAGGCGGCGACGCAAGUCAGAAGUGAAAGCCCGGGGCUCAACUCCGGGACUGCUUUUGAAACUGCGUUGCUAGAUUGCGGGAGAGGCAAGUGGAAUUCCUAGUGUAGCGGUGAAAUGCGUAGAUAUUAGGAGGAACACCAGUGGCGAAGGCGGCUUGCUGGACCGUGAAUGACGCUGAGGCUCGAAAGCGUGGGGAGCAAACAGG